GAACGCUAGCGGCAGGCUUAACACAUGCAAGUCGAGGGGUAGAAGUUGCUUGCAACUUUGAGACCGGCGCACGGGUGCGUAACGCGUAUGCAAUCUACCUUAUACAGAGGGAUAGCCCAGAGAAAUUUGGAUUAAUACCUCAUAGUGUUAUUGAAUGGCAUCAUUUAUUAACUAAAGUUCCAACGGUAUAAGAUGAGCAUGCGUCCUAUUAGCUAGAUGGUAAGGUAACGGCUUACCAUGGCUACGAUAGGUAGGGGUCCUGAGAGGGAGAUCCCCCACACUGGUACUGAGACACGGACCAGACUCCUACGGGAGGCAGCAGUGAGGAAUAUUGGACAAUGGGCGCAAGCCUGAUCCAGCCAUGCCGCGUGCAGGAAGAAGCAUCUAUGGUGUGUAAACUGCUUUUGUACGGGAAGAAACACUCCUACGUGUAGGAGCUUGACGGUACCGUAAGAAUAAGGAUCGGCUAACUCCGUG
Molecule: ribosomal RNA, 477 nt
Filed under: uncultured bacterium
Lineage: Bacteria
Description: bacterial SSU rRNA
Rfam family: Bacterial small subunit ribosomal RNA
Source: RNAcentral